AUUGAACGCUGGCGGCAUGCUUUACACAUGCAAGUCGAACGGUAACAGGUUAAGCUGACGAGUGGCGAACGGGUGAGUAAUGCAUCGGAACGUGCCCGAUCGGGGGGGAUAACGCAGCGAAAGCUGCGCUAAUACCGCAUACGAUCUGAGGAUGAAAGCGGGGGACCGUAAGGCCGCGCGCGAUCGGAGCGGCCGAUGUCAGAUUAGGUAGUUGGUGGGGUAAAGGCCCACCAAGCCGACGAUCGGUAGCUGGUCUGAGAGGACGACCAGCCACACUGGGACUGAGACACGGCCCAGACUCCUACGGGAGGCAGCAGUGGGGAAUUUUGGACAAUGGGCGAAAGCCUGAUCCAGCAAUGCCGCGUGCAGGAAGAAGGCCUUCGGGUUGUAAACUGCUUUUGUACGGAGCGAAAAGGUCCUUUCUAAUACAAGGGGCUCAUGACGGUACCGUAAGAAUAAGCACCGGCUAACUACGUGCCAGCAGCCGCAGUAA
RNAcentral lists this ribosomal RNA (493 nucleotides) under uncultured bacterium. RNAcentral describes it as "partial 16S ribosomal RNA". It matches the Rfam family "Bacterial small subunit ribosomal RNA", at positions 29 to 523 of the family's 1533-position model. The record is from RNAcentral.